This 451-nucleotide ribosomal RNA is filed under the name uncultured bacterium. RNAcentral's name for it is "bacterial SSU rRNA". It matches the Rfam family "Bacterial small subunit ribosomal RNA", at positions 28 to 504 of the family's 1533-position model. The record is from RNAcentral.
GAUGAACGCUGGCGCUCGUGCCUAACACAUGCAAGUCGAGCGAUUCUCUUCGGAGAAGAGCGGCGGACGGGUGAGUAACGCGUGGGUAACUUUGCCCUGUACACACGGAUAACAUACCGAAAGGUAUGCUAAUACGAGAUAAUAUGCUUUUAUCGCAUGGUAGAAGUAUCAAAGCUUUUGCGGUACAGGAUGGACCCGCGUCUGAUUAGCUAGUUGGUGAGGUAACGGCUCACCAAGGCGACGAUCAGUAGCCGACCUGAGAGGGUGAUCGGCCACAUUGGAACUGAGACACGGUCCGAACUCCUACGGGAGGCAGCAGUGGGGAAUAUUGCUCUAUGGGCGAAAGCCUGAUGCAGCAACGCCGCGUGAGCGAUGAAGGCCUUCGGGUCGUAAAGCUCUGUCCUCAAGGAAGAUAAUGACGGUACUUGAGGAGGAAGCCCCGGCUAACUAC